Molecule: long non-coding RNA, 337 nt
Filed under: Elaeis guineensis (African oil palm)
Lineage: Eukaryota; Viridiplantae; Streptophyta; Magnoliopsida; Arecales; Arecaceae
Description: long non-coding RNA (EGUI_LNC030867)
Source: RNAcentral
AUUGAUAUUCCCUUCAGCUGAUCUUAUAUAAGUUCAACCUUGAGAGUAGGAGAUAUUUAUUGUGGAUCUGUACCUCGACCUCAGCUGCCACAUCUUCGGCUCCAGCCGAGUUAUGGAAGAUUGAUGCUUAUCAGAUUACGGAUAUACGACAGAUAUGAAGAUCACUAAGAAUGACCUAUUAAGUUAGCCGUAGCCCUCUUCGGUUCGAUCCUAGUUCACAUUGUCUUUGGAUAACCCACUAUAGAUCGGAUAUGACCAACCAAUCCCAGAUUACUUAAGGUCAAUGCAUGCUUCGUGGUCUCCAAAACCUCAACCCCAGACAAUCUAUUAUAGCUCA